GAUGAACGCUGGCGGCGUGCCUAAUACAUGCAAGUCGAGCGAACAGAUAAGGAGCUUGCUCCUUUGACGUUAGCGGCGGACGGGUGAGUAACACGUGGGUAACCUACCUAUAAGACUGGGAUAACUUCGGGAAACCGGAGCUAAUACCGGAUAACAUUUGGAACCGCAUGGUUCUAAAGUGAAAGAUGGUUUUGCUAUCACUUAUAGAUGGACCCGCGCCGUAUUAGCUAGUUGGUAAGGUAACGGCUUACCAAGGCGACGAUACGUAGCCGACCUGAGAGGGGGAUCGGCCACACUGGAACUGGAACGCGGUCCAGACUCCUACGGGAGGCAGCAGUAUGGAAUCUUCCGCAAUGGGCGAAAGCCUGACGGAGCAACGCCGCGUGAGUGAUGAAGGGUUUCGGCUCGUAAAACUCUGUUAUUAGGGAAGAACAAACGUGGAAGUAACUGUGCACGUAUUGACGGUACCGAAUCAGAAAGCCACGGCUAACUACGUG
This 497-nucleotide ribosomal RNA is filed under the name uncultured bacterium. RNAcentral's name for it is "partial 16S ribosomal RNA". It matches the Rfam family "Bacterial small subunit ribosomal RNA", at positions 28 to 507 of the family's 1533-position model. The record is from RNAcentral.